UCAUUCUCCCCUUGGCUCAGGCACAAUAGCUCCAGGAAGAGAAGGCGGCACUAAAGACAGGAGGAAAUAGGAUAAUUUGGAGUGGCCUGUAUUUUGUUUUCACUACACAUAAACACAGGGCAUUCAUCUCAGCAGGAGGGCUGCCUGGGUAAGAGGAAGCACCGAGCCGAUGGGUAUAAGGCCAUGGCCAAAGGACAUUCAGAGCCUCAAGGUUGAGGAACUGUGUUUAACCAGACAUGUGACACUCACGUUCUUUCUCUUCAUAACAUUGUCUGACUGGAUAUUAACUAGUGUUACGCAAACCCGACAUGUUAAUGGGCCCGAAAAAACGUAGAAGAAUGGGCUGGAAUAGGAAGAAUAGGGGAGUUUCCAAGGCAAGAACAAAAAUGCAUGGCUCCCAGCCGCACCGCUAACUCCCUCUGACCUCCGUUGUGGAAGAGUUUGAAUCUUCGCUCCCCUUUUCUCCACCUACUAACAUGUUUGAUCUUCUGGCAACUGGUUCUCUAUUUAUCACAACAUGGUUCUUUUUUUUUUUUUUUUCAAAUUGAGAUAUAGUCCGCCUAAUAGAAUAUGCAACAUUAUAAAGUAUAUAGUCCAAUGGUAUACUUUGAUAGACAAUAAUCACUGCUAAUUCCAGAACAUUGUCAUCGCCCCCCUCGAAAGAAAUACCAUACCCAUCAGCCUUUACUCCCCAUUCUCCCUUCCUCCCAGGCCCCUGGCAACAACUAAUUUACCUUCUGCCCCUAUGGAUUUGCCUAUUCUGGACAUUUCAUAGAAAUGUGUGUCUAGUUUCUUUCACAUAGCUUGUUGGCUUCAAGAUUUAUCCGGUUGUAGCAUGUUUCAGUACUUCAUUCUUUUUUUUAAUGUUGAUUUCUUUUUGAAAGAGAGUGCACACACAAGCGGGGAAGGGCCGGAGAGAGAGAGGGGGACAGAGGAUCCAAAACCACAGAGCCUGAUGUAGAGCUCGAACUCAUGAACUGUGAGAUGACGACCUGAGCCAAAGUCAGAUGCUUAACCGACUGAGCCACCCAGGUGCUCCAAUCACAUUUUGUUCAUCCAUUCAUGAGUUAUUGGACAUUUGGAUUAUUUUGACUUUUUGGCUAUUAUGAAUAAUGCUGCUGUGAGUAUUCAUGUACAAGUUUUUGUGUGGUCAUAUGUUUUUAAUUCUCUUGGGUACAUACCUAAGAGUGGAAUUGCUGGGUCAUGUAGUAACUCUAUAUUUAACCCUUUUGAGGAACUGCCACACUGUUUUCCACAGCGACUACACCAUUUUACAUUCCCACCAAUGUAUGAAGAUUCUGGUUUCCCCAAAUCUUGCUACCACUUAUCACUGUCUCUCUGUUCGAUCAUAGCCAUCUUAGUGAGUGUAGAGUAGUAUCUCAUUGUAGCUUUGAUUUAUAUUUCCCUAAUGACCUAAGACAUUGAGCAUCUUUUCAUGUGCUUAUUGGCCAUUCAUGUAUUUUCUUUGGCGAAAUGUCUCUUCAAAUCCUUUACCCAUUUAAACAUUUGAUUAUUUGUCUUUUUACUGAGUUUUAAGAGUUCCUUAUAUAUUCUGGAUAUUCUGGAUACUAGACUUGUAUCAGACAUAUGAUAGUUGUGGGUUGUUUUUUUAUUUUUAAAUAAAGUCCAGUUUAUCUAUUUUUCCUUUGGUUUGUUGUGCUUUUUGUGUCAUGUCUAAGAAACUGUUGCCUAAAUCCAAGGUCAUAAAGAUUUCUCUCCUGAGAGUUUUAUAGCUUGAGCUCUUCCAUUUAGGUCUUUGACUCAUUUUGAGUUAAUAUUUAUAUAUGGCGUGAAGUGUAGGAAUCCAACUACAUUAUUUUGUAUGGGGAUAUACGGUUGUCCCAGCAUCAUUUGAAAAGACUGGUCUUCCCACAUUGAAUGGUGUUGGCAGCCUUGUUGAAAAUCAGUGAGCCAUAAAUGUGAGGAUUUAUUCCUGGACUGUCAGUUCUGUUCCAUCAACUUACAUGUCUGUUCUUAUGCCAGUACCACACCGUGAUUACUGUAGUUUUGAAGUAGGUUUUGAAACCAGGGCGUGUGAGUCUUCCCAUUUUGUUGUUCUUUGUCAAAAUCGUUUUGGAGCACCUGGGUAGCUCAGUUGGUUAAGUGGCCGGCUCUUGAUUUCAGCUCAGGUCAGGACCUCAUCGUUUGUGAGAUGGAACCCCGUGUUGCAAUCUGCACUGACAGCAUGGAGCCUGCUUGGGAUGCUCCCUCUCCUUCUCCCUCUGCCCCUCCCCUGCUCACACUUUUCCCCAGUCACACUCGCUCAUGUUUGCUCUUCUGCACGGGUGUGUAUGCUCGCUGUCUCUCAAAAUGAAUAGAUAAACUUUUUUUUUUUUUAAAGAUCAUUUUGGCUAUUCUCGGUCCCUUGAAUUCACAUACAGAUUUUAGAAUUAGCUUGCCAGUUUUUGGAAAGAAGUCGGUUGGGGUUUUGAUAGGGAUUAUACUGAAACCACAGUUCAAUUUGGGGUAUAGUGCCAUUUUAACAAUAUUUUCUUCUGAUCCGUGAACAUGGCAUAUCUUUACAUUUAUUUCAAUCUUCUUUAAUUUCUUUCAACAACGUUUUGUGGUUUUUAGUGUGAUUCUUGCACUUCUUUGGUUAAAUGUUUUCCUAAGUAUUUUGUUCUUUUGAGUACUGUUAUACAUGGAAUUGUUUUCCUAAUUUCAUUUUUGGAAUAGUCAUUGCUGAUGUAUAGAAAUAAAGCUAAUUUUUACAUAUUGA
Long non-coding RNA from Neofelis nebulosa (Clouded leopard), 2719 nucleotides. RefSeq lists it as uncharacterized. The transcript is spliced from 2 exons. The record is from RefSeq and is a predicted model, not a curated record. Lineage: Eukaryota; Metazoa; Chordata; Mammalia; Carnivora; Felidae.